ACAGCAGCAGCCGCGGGAAAACGGAGGGGGCUAGCGUUGUUCGGAAUUACUGGGCGUAAAGCGCACGUAGGCGGCUUUGUAAGUUAGAGGUGAAAGCCCGGAGCUCAACUCCGGAAUUGCCUUUAAGACUGCAGAGCUAGCAGGUGAGAGAGGUGAGUGGAAUUCCGAGUGUAGAGGUGAAAUUCGUAGAUAUUCGGAAGAACACCAGUGGCGAAGGCGGCUCACUGGCUCAUACUGGACGCUGAGGUGCGAAAGCGUGGGGAGCAAACAGGAUUAGAUACCCCCGUAGUCCCUGUCUCUUAUAC
Molecule: ribosomal RNA, 305 nt
Filed under: uncultured bacterium
Lineage: Bacteria
Description: partial 16S ribosomal RNA
Rfam family: Bacterial small subunit ribosomal RNA
Source: RNAcentral